UGGUGGCGGCGUGCUUAACACAUGCAAGUCGAACGAUGAACCUCCUUCGGGAGGGGAUUAGUGGCGAACGGGUGAGUAACACGUGGGCAAUCUGCCCUGCACUCUGGGACAAGCCCUGGAAACGGGGUCUAAUACCGGAUACGACUCACGACCGCAUGUGAUCUGGGUGGAAAGCUCCGGCGGUGCAGGAUGAGCCCGCGGCCUAUCAGCUUGUUGGUGAGGUAACGGCUCACCAAGGCGACGACGGGUAGCCGGCCUGAGAGGGCGACCGGCCACACUGGGACUGAGACACGGCCCAGACUCCUACGGGAGGCAGCAGUGGGGAAUAUUGCACAAUGGGCGCAAGCCUGAUGCAGCGACGCCGCGUGAGGGAUGACGGCCUUCGGGUUGUAAACCUUGUUUGACUUGGAAAAACAUCUCAGUGCCCGAGCUU
This 433-nucleotide ribosomal RNA is filed under the name Streptomyces sp. ERI-INS-009. Its description in RNAcentral is "bacterial SSU rRNA". It matches the Rfam family "Bacterial small subunit ribosomal RNA", at positions 37 to 470 of the family's 1533-position model. The record is from RNAcentral. Lineage: Bacteria; Bacillati; Actinomycetota; Actinomycetes; Kitasatosporales; Streptomycetaceae.